RNAcentral lists this ribosomal RNA (275 nucleotides) under uncultured bacterium. RNAcentral describes it as "partial 16S ribosomal RNA". It matches the Rfam family "Bacterial small subunit ribosomal RNA", at positions 338 to 629 of the family's 1533-position model. The record is from RNAcentral.
CCUACGGGUGGCUGCAGUGAGGAAUAUUGGGCAAUGGGCGCAAGCCUGACCCAGCAAUGCCGCGUGCGGGACGAAGGUCUUCGGAUCGUAAACCGCUUUUGUGGGGGAGUAGCAAGGAGAGUACCCCACGAAUAAGUCACGGCUAACUACGUGCCAGCAGCCGCGGUAAUACGUAGGUGACAAAUGUUAUCCGGAAUCACUGGGCGUAAAGGGUCUGUAGGCGGCUAUUUAGGUCUGAUGUGACACCUCUCGGCUUAACUGAGAGAGCGCAUUGG